CCUCCCCCCAGUGAACUACCGGUAUCUAAUCCUGAAUCUGCUUUGGCAUCAGUUGCAUUUCCCAUUGGAAACACACCUGGGGGGCACAUGCAGCCCCCAAAAUGAGACAAACCUCUCCGGGCAUCUUCCUUAUGAAGCACAGCUCAGGACAUCCAUAAAUCUUCGUUCCCAGCACGCAUCCAGCGACACAUAUCGGAAGACUAUGUGCACACUCACUCAGCAGAGUUUAUCAGAAAUGAAGGGGAGCGUUGGUGUGUGCAUUUUAAGUAUUUCUUAAGCAAUAUAUACAGCACAAAGCAAUCAUGGCGUCUCUCCUCCUUCUUCUCCAAGAGAGAUAGAGAGAGAAAGUACAACACUACAAUAGAGCGGAAGAAAGAAGACUAUCUUCCGUUCUCACACUUUCCAAGCCUAGAAAGCCAGUGUGGUGUAGUAGUUCAGAGCGGUAGACUCGUAAUCUGGGGAACCGGGUUCGCGUCUCUGCUCCCCCACAUGCAGCUGCUGGGUGGCCUUGGGCUAGUCACACUUCUCUGAAGUCUCUCAGCCUCACUCACUUCACAGAGUGUUUGUUGUGGGGGAGGAAGGGAAAGGAGAAUGUUAGCCGCUUUGAGACUCCUUCGGGUAGUGAUACAGUGGGAUAUCAAAUCCAAACUCUUCUUCUCUUCUAGAAAGUAAACACAGACAUGUGAUGUAACAAUCACACAUCCAGCAACGGAGGAAUGAAAUGCUAACAAAGACGUGUCCAUGGAACAACUCAGGUGGAUUGUGUCCACUGUCUCCAUAACCUGGCACUGUUCCACUUUGGAACAAAGCUGCCUAGUGGCUCAUUCAUGUCAGCACCUCUGGAAGACUAAAAAGGAAGUCUGGGCUGCCUCCAUUUGUUCUCGCUAACCGCCUGAAAGUUCACAGGGUAAGAAGCUCUUGUCACCACGAAUGAGCUAUAAAAUGUAUUUCAAUAUGUAAUUACAAUUGGCAUUUCUGAGGCACAUAAUGCCCCCCCCCCCAGUGGAUGUGGUAAUCAUAGUGAAAAGCGAUUAAAGUGACAUUAGCGGAGUGAGAACUGUAUAGAGAGGUUGGAAACCUGGGUUGUCAUUUUGAGAAAUCUGACUGCCAAAGGACGUUGGCCCUUUUUUAAUUGCCAAGUAUAAAAGAUGGUGUUUGGUUUAUCCCCAAAUUCACCCACAAAACUGGCUUUCAAACAACGCCUCUCCCCCCUUCCAGCCUUCCACCAACUUAAUGUCACAAGUCAAAUAGCUUUUCUACGAAACCUACACCUUCAUCACUGAGCUCUGAAAUGUCAGCUAUAAUUAUAACUUCCUUUAAAAAACAACAACAAGCAAACACAAAUUGCAUUGUUUAUUUAAAAGGACAAGCAUUUCUUAUCUUCUGGACAUCUAAAAUUAGCAAAAUGAAGUUUCCCACUCCCCUUUAGAUAUUAAAUGCGAGCAUGGCCACAUUUAAAAGAAAACAGAAUACGUUUUGCUAAUUCUAAAGGUUCAGGAGGUAAAAAGUGUACCCCUCAACUGUCCUGAUUUGAGCGGAACGUCUUGGGAGCCAUCCUGACUUCUGACUGGAUCCCAGAAUGUCCUGGUUAUUUUUGUCUGGCUCCCUUGUGUGAAUUUGCUGGCUCACGCCAAAGUGCCGAAACAAAAGACGUUCCUUUUUUGGUCUUGCUGGCUCUCACGCGAAUCAGCUGGCUCAUGCUCAAAAGGCAAGCCUUCUCUGUGGUGGCCCCUAAGCUGUGGAACUCUAUCUCUGCAGAGGUGCAUCCAGCACCUUCAUUAUAGAGCUUCUGGUGUAAUGCUGAAUGCAUACCUCUUUGCCUUGGCUUUUGACAUGAGGGUGGUGUGUGUGUGUGUGUAUACACCCACCCACUCCCAUUUUUUGUGAUUGCAAGCUGUUUUAAACUGCUUCUAAUAUUGUGCUUUAAUGCUGUAACCUGCUCUGGAACCUUAGAAGGGAAAUACCACAAAGUGAUUCAUAAAAAGAAGAACACAACAAAGUGAUCUGGAAAAAUACCGGGGUUUUUUUUGCUCUAUAAGACUCACUUUUUCCCUCCUAAAAAGUAAGGGGAAAUGUGUGUGCGUCUUAUGGAGCGAAUGCAGGCUGCGCAGCUAUCCCAGAAGCCAGAACAGCAAGAGGGAUUGCUGCUUUUACUGCGCAGCGAUCCCUCUUGCUGUUCUGGCUUCUGAGAUUCAGAAUAUUUUUUUUCUUGUUUUCCUCCUCCAAAAACUAGGUGCGUCUUGUGGUCUGGUGCGUCUUAUAGAGCGAAAAAUACAUAGCUAUUUAAAACUUUUUUAAAAAUUGAUGAAAAUCAAUGAUGAAAAACUGAUUAAAACAUAUGCCAACAUCCUGUAUUCUUGGGUAGGCUUGGGGUUUUUUUUUGACAAAAUGGUUUUAGCAGGCACCAAAAAGAGUAGAGUGAAGGCUCCUGCCUGAUGUCAAUAGACAGGGAGUUCCAAAGUCUGUGUGCUGCCUCAGUAUAAGAUUGAUUUCUUACAAAUGUAGAACAAGUGUAUUGUGGCACUUGUAGCUGUGCCAGAAAGGUGAUCUCUGAAGUAAACUGGUCCCUGGCAUGCAAACGCCAAUACUGUAUCCCAUUUAGGACGACAUGGCGCCCAUUGGCCUUCCAGGAAUUAUACUGGGGCCCAUGUGCAAUGAAUAGAAAAAUUCCACAUUCAUUUGCUGAGCCUGCUGCUACAAUUAAUUCAUUUUGCACCAUCUCCUGUCCUCAUUACAGUUUUAUUAUAAGAAUUAAUAUAUUUUGCCAUUUGCUAUUCUGGUGAAAUCAGGAGAGGAGCCGUGAGAAUGAAUACAUUUUGUUCCACUUUGUCCUCAUUAUAAUUUUAAGGUGUUCUCGAGAAUGGAUUAAUUUGACGCCACUUCUCACUCUUUAUCAUAAGAAUGAAAGCUAAAAUAGUUAUGAAACUCUGACAGCCUUUUGUCUGGAACUAUUCUGUGCUCAAGAUUUUUUUUAAAAAAAACUGCAUUGAGAAGAGGAGGGGAAGGUUAUAAAUGUUCUGUGAGGGUUUAUAAAUGUAUAGAAAAUGAUUGGAUGCCUCUGAGGGAAAGCCGAAGGAAUAAACAAAUGAAACAGAUGACCACAUGCUUGUGACUGUCUCAAGAUCAUAAUCUGCCAUUCAGGCUGGGUACUCUAAUCACACAGAUAUGAUUUUCAUUAAAUUAUUCCUUCCCCAACAGACAAUAAACAACUACUUACUGAUAGAUGGCUGGAUACUGGACCAUUAAUAUAAAAUGCCAGCUUCCCGCUUUACCAGAAACACUCAGAAUCUCAGUCACUGGAUACAUUUGCAGUAGAAAUGUGGUUCCUCUAUGUUACUGUUUAAAUACAAUAAAACAAAAGAGAGAGAGAGAGAAACAAUUGCAGUGGCAAUUAAGUUUCAUCCUAAAGAUAGAAACAAAAGGGAAGUUCCAUAAAGGGGAUUGGGGAAAUUUAUAUAUUUUACACACACACACACACACACACACACACACACAAACACACUGCAUACAGUCCAAAGUAGACAACCCAAAGUCCAGAAGGAUUAGCAAAUGUGAAAUGCAAAUGUAUUUCCCCUACAAAAGUUCAAACAGCGGAAAUGUUCCCAAGAAGGUAUUACUCGGUGAUAUCCAGCUAAGGCUGGAAACUUAACCACACUUCCCUAGGAGUAAACCCCGCUGAAUUCAAUAACGCUUAUGUCUUUAUAGACAUAUGUUUGCUUGUUCAUUUUCAUUUAUUUAAUUUCUAUACCACCCUUCAUUCGUGGAUCGUGGGGUGGUUUACAAUAUUUUGUGCUUUAUGCACACACAAAAAGCCAUAGUAACAAACAUGGAAUGUAUUCAACUAUGUUCUGCUCAGAGUAAAAGGUAAAGGGACCCCUGACCAUUAGGUCCAGUCAUGGCCGACUCUGGGGUUGUGGCGCUCAUCUCGCUUUAUUGGCCGAGGGAGCCGGCGUACAGUUUCUGGGGCAUGUGGCCAGCAUGACUAAGCCACUUCUGGCGAACCAGAGCAGCGCAUGGAAAUGCCGUUUACCUUCCCACCGGAGCGGUACCUAUUUAUCUACUUGCACUUUGAGGUGCUUUCGAACUGCUAGGUUGGCAGGAGCAGGAGAGACACUGAAAUGAAUGAGCCUAUUAGUCAUGACCAUUAACCUGAAUGGGUCUACUCUAUGUAGGACUAGGAUGGAAUGCUACCCAUUAUUAGGACUGUGCUAUAAGUCAUACUGAGAACAGACCUAUGGAAAUUGAGGACUUAAGUCUAUUUAUUUAUACUCUGAGUGUGGCGCUGUGGGUUAAACCACAGAGCCUAGGGCUUGCCGAUCAGAAGGUCGGCAGUUUCGAAUCCCCGCGACGGGGUGAGCUUCCAUUGUUCUGUCCCUGCUCCUGCCAACCUAGCAGUUCAAAAGCACAAAGUGCAAGUAGAUAAAUAGGUACCGCUCCGGCGGGAAGGUAAACGGCAUUUCUGUGCGCUGCUCUGGUUUGCCAGAAGUGGCUUAGUCAUGCUGGCCACAUGACCCGGAAGCUGUACGCCGGCUCCCUUGGCCAAUAAAGCGAGAUGAGCGCCGCAACCCCAGAGUCAUCCAUGACUGGACCUAACGGUCAGGGGUCUCGUUACCUUUAUGACAACAGAGAUCACCUACAGUUAUUAAUAUUAUAUUCAAUUUAUAUAUCUACCCAUCAAUAAGUGUUUCCUCCGAAGCUUUCAAUAAAUGUUAAAAAACACAAUUUAUACCCAUGAUUAAAGAACAACAACAACAAACAAGUAAAAGCAGCAAAAAGCAAAAAGGAAACAUCUCCAUUGAAGCCACACCUCUGAGGAGUUGGCCUCCUGGAUCAUAGCUGUUUCUCUUAAAAGAGUCAUACACCAGGUAUUGAGUUGAUAGUGAGGACUGUUGCCUUAAUUUUACCAUCCUUCAAUGAUCAUUUUUGGUAUAUUUAAUGAAGCCAUCUCCUUCAUUCUGAUCCAUCCUAAGUGCAAGAGACAGGCAUUCCCUCACCAUGUUACUUAGGCAUAAACACCAAAUAAUAUCUUGCUGUUCCUUUCCUUAAUAUUUCAAGAAAUGUCUGUGACUUGCAGGGGGCAGCAAAAAGGUAUAGAGUAUGUCACUGCACAUCCAUGUCAUAUGCAGAAAGCAAUCAUUUAGUUGUUAUUUAUUAUGAGAAUGAAUUCUUGGAAAAUGCCCUUUGGUCUUCUCGAAAUGACAGCUCGCUGUGAUAAUGCUGGUGGCAGAUUGUUGACCUAUAAUAUUCAGCAUUUAAUAGUGUUUCCUACUCACCACAUCCCUGUGCAGCAGAACUUUCCAGAGGCAAGAUUGUGUGAGGCCUGUUUCAUUGCAAGGAGUGUGUCUUAUUGGAACCGGAAGAUGCAUUGUAUAAUUUCAUGUAGGCAUUUGCAAAUAUACAGACUGAGCAUAUGGGAAGCAAGUACGCAAGCAGACUGUACUCAUGCUCAAGCUGUAUGAAUUCAUCCCUCCAAGAUGCAAAAUCCUGGCAAGCUGCUUCGGCAUCCUUCAACACUCUUAAGGAACAUUUCCAAACACAGGACUGUGUUUUUUUUCUCUCUUCCCCAUGCACAUUAAAGUUGCAAGCAUAAAUAAAUAAAUAACAAGUUGUGUCCAGACUCAGGUAGUUGAACUUAGGUCCCACUGAAAUCAAUGGGACAAAUUAUUAAUGACUUAACUUAAGCCCUAUUGAUUUCUACUGGAACUAAGUUCAAUUAACAGGCUGGAUCUGGCCCAAUGUUUCUUUCAACCCCCCCCCCCGCCCCUGAAGAGGCUGUACAAAUUUCAGCAGCUUGCUACAGUCCCUGACCACCACUUCAUGACUUUAUCCAUAAUCAAGUGUGAGCUGUACAAAAGCUGAAGAGUAUGGAGCCAUUUUGCAUAACCAAAAAGCAUCCUAGACCAGCCCUGUCCACAGGAAUAGCAGCAGUAUCUUUAGAGAAGCACCCAUAGAGCUCAGUGGCUGAAGCCAUGGAGGGUAGGCUGAAUGGGGCACUGCUCCACCCCAUCAGUCUGCCCUCAGUGAGCCCCUGGCUUCUUACUUGCAACCAGCCAGGGGUGGUGGUGGUUCUGCUUAUCAGCUUCUUCCUUGGUGUUGUCCUUGCAGAACUCAGCAGGAAGGAGGAUGAGGACAAAAUCAGAAUUAGUUGGCUGCAUCUGUCAUUACCGUUGGUUUCCCUGCCUUCUGCCCAACCAUUCCCAAUGGACAUAAGCCACCACUGGGCUGAACAUAUGCUUUGUAUGCAGAAGGUUUCAAGUCCACCCCUUCCCAAAUGUCUCAAGUUAAAAUAAUUUUGGGGUCCUGCUUGGGACACCUUCGCCAGCCACUUCUGGCCUCAAUGGACCAUAUUGGGCUGGGUGGGAUGAAUGGCCUGGCAUUGUAUAAGGCAGCUUUUUACAUUCUCAGGAACAUACUCAGAAAACUUUAUGAAAACCUGCUGAGGUGUUAACAAUCCAGUCCGGAAUAUAUCCCCUUAUACUAUACAGCUCAGGACCAGGUUACUUCAGAGACUGACUUAUGCCUUAGAUGCUGCGGUCUAUGGGAGAGAGCAUGGUGCUGAUAACUCCAAGGCUGCAGGUUCAAUCACCAUAUGAGACAACUGCAUAUUCCUGCAUCGUAGGGAGUUGAACCACAAUGACCCCCAGGGUCCCUUCCAAUUACAUGGUUCUAGAAUUCUUGUGUGAGCUCCAAAGAUCUCAGAAGCAGGGCUGCCUCUCCUCUGUGGAAUAUCAUUCCUGUUGAGACACAACAGGCACCCACUAUUUGCACUUUCCAGAAACAGGUGAAAACAUUUUUGUUCUGAAAAGCUUUCCCAGCUGAAUAAACAAAGCUUUUCUAUGGGUGUUCACAUGUUAAGAGUUUUAGUCUUACUUCAAAUGUAUUGGUCAUGUUUGUGCCUUUAACCGCCUUUAAUUAUCUUCAGUGUAAAUUGCGUUGAGACAGUGGUUUAGGUGGUGAUGAAUUAAUUGUAAUGAGACCUUUGUUGUUGCCCAAAGCUGGUUGCCGUUCUAGCAGACAUGUGAUGUGCAAGAACCAAGGCUUUGAAACUGAAACAUGUGUUGCCCUGGGUCUGCAACAUGCUGGUCUCUGCCAUCAGCCAAGGUGCUAAGGGCCACUGUGAGGCUGCCUUUGUCUCCCAGGGAGAUGAUUUAAUUUAAUAUACAGUGGUACCUCGGGUUAAUAACUUAAUUCAUUCUGGAGGUCUGUUCUUAACCUGAAACUGUUCUUACCUGAGGUACCACUUUAGCUAAUGGGGCCUCCCUCUGCCGCCACGCGAUUUCUGUUCUCAUCCUGAAGCAAAGUUCUUAACCCGAGGUACUAUUUCUGGGUUAGUGGAGUCUGUAACCUGAAGCGUCUCUAACAUGAAGCAUCUGUAAUCCGAGGUACCACUGUAUACAAUUUAGCCCACCCUGAGACUAUCACUGAAUGGCCAGCUUAUAAAUUCAGUCAGUCAAAGGAGAGGCCAACCUGGCUUCAUCCAUCAGUCAGAGAAGGAGCAGCUGCAAGGAGUUUGCUUCUGUCCCUCCCUGCCAGAAAGGACACCUGGCUCCACCUGCCAGUUGCCAUGAGACUACAGAAGCAAGCAAGGGCUGUGGGGAGAGACGCUCCGGACUCCAUCCACUGGACAAAGGAACAAGAGCCAUGAACUGCUAUUCAAGCAAGAACACCAGCAUGGGAGCAGAAGAACAUCGGAGGGAUCACACCAAUGGUCCAUCUCACCCAGCAUCCUGUUUGCUUAUUGACCAACCUAUAGGAAGCCUGCAAGGAGAAUAACAGCAAUCUCCACACUUGUUAUUCCCAGCAACUGGCAUUCAGAGGCAUACUGUUUCCAACAGUGUAGGGAGAACACAGCCAUGAAGGGUAGUAGCCAUUGACUUCCUUUUAAUAACAACAGUUUUAAUAUUUGUACCCCACCCAUCUGACUGGGUUUCCCCAGCCACCCUGGGUGACUUCCAACAGAUAUAAGAACACAAUAAAACAUUGAGCAUUAAAACUCUCCCUAUACAGGGCUGCCUUCAGAUGUAUUCUAAAAGUUGUGUAGUUCUUUAUCUCCUUGACAUCUGAUGGGAGGGCGUUCCACUGGGCAGGCGCCACCAUCGAGAAGCCCCUCUGCCUGGUUCCCUGUAACCUCACUUCUCGCAGGGAGGGAACUGCCAGAAGGCCCUCAGAGCUGGACCUCAGUGUCCGGGCUGAAUGAUGGGGAUGGAGAUGCUCCUUCAGGUAUACAGGGCCGAGGCCGUUUAGGGGUUUAAAGGUCAAUACCAAGGGUUUGAAUUGUGCCCGGAAACGUACUGGGAGCCAGUGUAGAUCCUUUAGGACAGGAAUUAUAUCUUGUGUGCAGCCACACCUGGUCACCGUCCAGCUGCCACAUUCUGGAUUAGUUGUCAUUUCUGAGUCACCUUCAAAGAUUGUUAUCCUCUAAUAACUUUUCUAACACACCCCCCCUUAAAAGUCAUCCAGGUUGGUGGCUAUCAUCUUGUUGGGGCAAUUUCCAUCGUUUGUGCUCUGUGAAGAAGUGCGUCCUUUGUCUCUGCUGAAUCUGCCAACAUGCAGCUUCACAGAAUGGCCUCUGAGUUCUAGCAUUAUGUGUGAGAGAGGAGAUUGCCUUGACUCAAACUGCUGAUUGCUCUCCCCUUCCUUCUUUGAACUGUGGACUAUAAAUACAGUCAACCAACAAACUGUGGGAAUGGAUAGCUCAGGCACCUCCUCCUCGUAUCCUGGAUGCUUUACAUCUCGCUGUCAGCCCUGCUGCAUUCAAUCACACAGACGGGGCCACGUGACGGCGCUUGCCACAACUGGAUCAACAAAGUCCUGUUUUCCUUCAAAGGCGUGUAUUGCCCUGAGAAGUUAGCAAACUGGCACAUCCCUGGGAGCAGCUGAGUUAGAGAGGCGCCUGCAUAUUUCAUUCCUCUUAAAAGACUCCACUGCCCUCAAAGAAUGGCUGGCUGAUGUCUCCUCCACUUGAAUUUCGUUACAGGAUCUGUAAUUAGCAACUAAUAGAAUCCCUCCCUCCUCCCUGUAGGCCAGCAGCAGGUGCUCCUAUUUUCAGAUGUAUAUGAAAUAUCUGCCAAAUCAUUUGGCAGAUUUCAGGGAGAAAUGUGCCAAAUUACCUGUCACAGCAAAACUGCCUUUUUAAAGGAGAGAUAAAUGUUCCCGGAGCUCUAGUUCUACUGAACAACAGUGCCCCCAAGUGGCUGCUUGCACCGGCCACAGGUCUCGGGAUGCUCCAGAUUUCCUUUGGGAUCCAGCUCACGAAAAACCUAACACACUAUUCUGAAGCUAGGUCUGCAUGCUCAUACUACAUUGGGCAGAAGAAACCUUAUGCCAUAGAAGAGCAUUCCCUGUUAAGACGUUGAAGGUAGGAAAUGCUAAUGUUUCAUCAUUUUGGAGGAUGAGAAAAGUCAAUUCAGCACAUUCAUACAAGCCUUACCAAGUUAUUAGGUUUUCUUCUCCGGGCUUUGCAAACUGGGUUUGGAAGAGUCAGUCCCUGAUUUAUGUUCUUGGCAUGCCACAACUUUGAACAUGUUGAGUAAAGACAUAGACCAAUUUCCAACAGUGCACAAAUUGGCGCUUUCAAGCGGAAUGAAAGUUCAAGGUGCCCAAAGUUUAGAUUUGGAUUUGGUCAAAUACCCAAGAGAAAACACAGCCAUUCCAUCAGGCUCCAGCAGGAGAGAAGGGAAGCAAGGCAACCUCAUUGGCUCUGCUGAGAGAUCAGGUGCUUUGCCUUCCCCCUCCCCAACUGUUUCCAUUCCAUUCCAUUCUGUUAGAAGAAUCUGUUGCCUUAAAACUGAUACCUGAAUUUGCUUUCUGCCCUCCUCACUCCUUUUUCCUUUUGUGCCAUGUCUUCUAAACCACAAGCUGGACUGCAGGGUCUGUCCUUACCUGGUAAGACUUACAGAGUCUAUGUAUAAGCCAUUCUUGGGCCUGAUACAGUCAACAUGGUAACAGCAUGGAUAUCUGAUGGCAGGAUCAACACUGUAGGAAGCAGGAGGGCCAAGGUCCUCCAGGAACCAGGUGACAGUAAGGAAAAAUAUCAAAACAAGUGAACUCAGAGACCUGAACUGACCCAGUCUGAUGCUCCAGUCCACUGCCUCAGAGGCAAAACUAACCUUUAUUUAACCCAGUUUGGCACACACAUUUGUGCUCACAGGCUGGGAGGUUCAGACACCCUCUCCCACAUGUGUUGAAAGUCUGGGUGGGAAGGGUUGCAAGCCUGCAUGCAGCAGUCACAUUCGCUGCCACUGGCCCAACAGCCACAUGUCCAGCUAUCUGUGCAUUCUGUGGGCAUGUGCAGAGGCCCUGUGCACAUACCGAUGAACAUCUGUAGAGAUCUUCCACAUGAAGAAGGACCCUGAUUGGACAAGGGUCUCUCCCUCACAUGCAGGAGCUCUGUGCGCAUGCAUUGGUAUACAUGGAGAGUCCCUUCACAUGGCUGCAAAAUGUGAACAGAGGAACAUAGCAGGGGGUAGGAGUAGAUUACCCUAGAGGUCCCUUCUAAAUCUACAGCUCUGUGAACGAACGAACGAACAAACGAAGGAAGGAAGGAAUGAAUCUUUAUUUGCGUCAGCCACCGGCCAUAGCAACAAAACAACAACACAAUAUACAAAGAACAGAAAUAAAAAGUCAAUUAUAUAAAACACACUUUAGGGUCCUGAAUCAACAGUCAAAUAGUAGACCUUAUUCUAAUUGCCCCAGCUAAAAACCUUGCAACUUCCAUGAAUGGCCAACAGGUAUAGCCCCGGUGAUUUUGCACCCCAUGUCUUUUUCAGUUGGUGUGGGUGUCCAAGCCCCCUGAUAUGCUGUCACCAUUCUAAUCUGAAACUCCCCACAAGAGAUGUUGUGUACUCUGUGUGUGUGUGUGUGUGUUUCAUUUCUACUCCAUCUUUCCUCCAAGAAGUCCAAGAUGGUGGGCAUGGUUCUCUGAACAAUCCUGUGAGGUAGAAUAUGCUGAGAGGCAGUGACUGGGUGAAGGUCACUCAGUGAGCUGAGUGGGGAUUUGAACCCUGGUCUCCCAAGUUGCAUUCCCGUGCUCUUAAGGUUGUUGGUGACUGUGCCCAAAAUCUAGGCCUAGAAUAGCUUUCCUCAUUCUGGUGCCCUCCAGAUAUUUUGGACUAUAUCUCCCCUCAUUCCUAAUUAGUUGCCAGGUUGGCUGGGGCUCAUGGGAGUUGGAGUUCAGCACCAUCCAGAGACCAAAAGGUUUGGAGAAAGCUGGCAUAGAGAUUGUGUUUUCCAGCUCAGGAUCUACAAGGUUAGUGACUGAGGCCAGAUAAGGUGGAGCCAGCAGAAAGUUGGUUAGGCAAACAAAGAUCCAAAUACAUCUCUAUAUCUAGUUAUACUUGGGUGGGACCUAGGCAACCCAGAAAGCUUCAUUCUGUCUACCAGUCUCAAGGGCUGAAUUGCAUACCUGUAUCCCACUUUACACCUGAGUGGUCUCUAAGGCACACACCUUCUCAGGUAGCUCUAGGCUAGAUCCCAGCUGCUCUUUUGGCUUGAUGCAAGCAUAAUACAGGAGGAAGGAUAAUAAUUGGAGAGAAACCCCAAUGCAAUGCAAUUCAGAGACCAAAGGAAUCCCACCCUCAGCAAAACUGCAUUUCUGAGUGAAAUUAACUUUCAUUUUUUAGCAAGGAAGAGAAGAGGUUGGGAGGGACACGAUGUUAUUAAUAUGAGUUGAUAAUGGCAGAUGAAAUUCUUUUUCAUCUGCUGCUUGAGAUGUCAUUCUUGGAUUUUUCCUGGUUUAGUUUCCCUUUUAUCAGAACCUCGCAUUCUCUCUUUGGAGAGUUUUAAUUAACUUGCAAAGUGUUCUUUCAGUAUGAAUAAAUGAUUAUGUUAUUUAUAGCUGCUGUUUUUGCAAAAUCUCGUUGGAAUCCUGUUAAUUCUAAAAUGUUAAUGAUCUGGUUCCCUGUUAACAGUGAAAAACAUUUGACUUUGCAUUAUCACACUCCUCCCUGUUCCUCUAACUUGAAGCCUCACGCAGCCAAACUACAAAAUUGAAGGAAGUGUUCUCCAUUUGCCCAUUUGUAAAAGGAAGAGAUUUAUGGCAGGUUCCUUUCUAUGAAGCUUCACUUUUGGAAACUCAUUUGAGGCCAGGAGGGAUGAAUGGAUUUGUCAGUUUCGGUCUCUCUCCUUCCCCCAUUUUUCCAUUCUUAACUUCAGUUCCACAUUAGUUUUCAUUUAAACAACAGCUCCUCAUGAACAUUUUAAGGUACAUUUCUCCUUAGAGACACAUUGUUUUGCAUGCAAUUUUCCCUAAUGUAACACAUUUUUGUAUAUUAUUUUCACCAAAAUAUGCAUUUUUAUGCACACUUUCUCCUAACAGGAACAUUUUUAUUUAGAGAAGUGUGAAUGUCAAAGGAUAGCUCUAUUUUGGUUAUAUGGUUUUGGAAAGCACAAAUUAGGUAGGUCCACCUUAAACGCCAACCAAACCAGAUUUCUCCCCCAACCCUAGAAGCCAACCAAGUCCUCCAGUGGAUUUUGCAAAUAACCACAGCUUAGUAGUGAUGGGCAAGAUUUACCUAGCUCAUCUUUCACUCAUUUGCCCCAAGUUUCAAAGAGAAAAAAAAAGAGCAACACAAGACUUGUUAAAGAAAGCUCAGAAAAAAACAUGAAAAUUAUUACUGACCAUCCUUGUAGGGUAGCCACACAAUGCACCACCAAAAUAAUAGGAAAAGAGAGGGCAUAGAUAUGCAUAAAAUUUACAUGUUAAUUUAUACAUAUAAAUAAUCUCUAUAAUUUAAACAGAAAUGAAAUGCAUCCCACCAUAGUAGGGAAGACUGUGAUCAGAUCAUGCUGGUGUCUUCUUCAUUUGCUGUCAAGGUGCUAACUGCUGGUGGGCAACUUCAAGGUCUCUGCUCUCCUUCCUUUGGGCUAUUUAUCUGUAAACUGGCCAGUCCUUCAAGCACAGGACCCCCUUUUGUAAAGUAGGACACAUGGCCAUCUCUGAUCUGCAAGUAGGGAGGGGACUGGCUCCUAUGUACCUGAUCAGUUAGUGACAAGGUUUUUGUAACGCAAGCUCGGAUCGUUCCGUUUCACAUUUUGUAAUAUAUGUAUGGACUCAGCCCGAUGUGUCGAGUUACAAAAAUGUCAUAACUGAUCUCUCUUGUCCCAAGCCUGUCUGCUCAGAAGAAAGCUCCAUUAAAUUCAAUGCAACUUACUCCUGGGAAAGUGAUAUAUUUGUUUACUAAGCAGCCAGUUAAGAGGGUGUAUGUAAAGACAGAGACUUCUAAAAUUGAAGGCUUUCUUUUCUUUUUUGGGAACAGCAAAACAUGCUUCGAGUUUGAGAACAGUCACAGGGAUUUUGGUGUGAAAACAGUAUUUUUUUUUUAAGGCACUGAUGACUUAUUGUGAACUCUUGCAGAGAAGGCGGCAGAUUGCAUGCUAACAAGAGUGAGAGCUACAGGCAGGCUCCCUUUUUGUUCUCUUCUUAUGAGCUUCAUUCUCAUCUUUAUCCGCAACAUAGAGCAGGGACAGCAUGCAUCAAAAGCAGAAAGUGCACUGUCUUGGGAGAGCAGGAUUUGCUCUAACCUUCAUUUUAUGAACAUAUUAAAGGGUAAUGCAGCUGGAACAUAUCAAAUGCAACAGAAAAUGAACAAGCUAGAUGUUUCAGCCAAGGACAUUUAAUCAUUUCAUUAUGCCAGUUUAAAGUCUUCUCCCUAUUUACUUUGAUCUCUUUCCUCUUCUUUAAUCUCCCAUUUUGAAAGCAUAAUAUGCCACUCCCCUUUCAUUUCCAUUUAUCUUACUCUUUUUUUUGUACGUAAUAUGAAGUAGUAUGUAAAAUUGCUAUUUGACAGAAACUGUGGAAAGAAAGUUUUAUAACCUUUGGGCAUGUUCAAGCCCAACAGUUUACAAGGCUAUGACAAAUGUGUAUCAUGCAAUAGUAUUAAUAAAAUAACACAGAACAUGUAGAACAUAAUACUUAACAGAAAACAUAUUUGAACUUGAAUCUGCGGACAUGAAAUGGAGACCAGCAGUGGAAGAUCACUGUCAAUACUGAAGCUAUGUACACAUUAGCAGCUGAAAAUGCAGCAAGGUCAUUCCUCCCUUGCGGCAUUUCAAGUCACCAUCCCAUGUUGCUUUACAUCCCAGAGAAAGGGCAAGGAUGUCUUCACCCAAUGCACAUUACCAGUUUAGUACAUAGCUGUCAAGUGUCCCUUAUUUGGUGGGCAGUGCCUUAUCCCAGUGCCAUGUUCCGCUGCUGUCCCUUAUUGAUGAUGUCCCUUAAAUUUCCUGGGUUUCAAAGGAAGCAGCUCCUCUCCCUCCCUCCCCGCCGGCCAGGGAGGAGGGAGGCUCCAACUGUGUUGCUUGGCUGCGUUGUUCUCCCAAUAAGGAGUCUAAGAAUGACUGGGGGGUGGAGCUUGCAUGCCUUGUGCUGAUCAAAUCGGCCGUGUUGCCUGGGGACUCGCCUUUGCUCAGCGCUUCCCAGCGGAGAGGUGACGGUGGUUUUCCUUGCGGCAUCCCCUUUGCCAGGUUGCUGCACUAUGGGAACCACCACUUGAGGCUUCGUUUGGCUGCUGGCUGGGCUUUCUGCCUUUGGCUUGGAGGGGCUCAGAAGUCGAACAUACCUGUGCUGGGAAAAUCCCUUAUUUUGGCUGCUGAUCCCUUAUUUUCGAGGCUGCUGGUCCCUUAUUUUCAAAUCUGUAAGUUGACAGCUAUGGUUUGGUAUCCCUGUGCCUGCAAACUCCCCCCCCAAAAAAAUUCCUAUUUCUGAAUCUGUCAUCUGCGCAUGCACAACAGCUGUCUCAAAUGUACACACCUCAGCUUAAAUGCAAAGUCAAUGUGGCUUACAUUUUCAAAUCAUAUGGACGCUGAUUGGCAGGAAAAUACAUUGGAGAGCAGUGUUUCUCAAGGAACUACAAGACACAUGUAUGGAUUGUGGCUAACAUCAUGCAUGCACAGCUUCAAACGCCGGCAGUGAGCAUUCACUGAUGCCAGAAUGGAUGGUAACAUACACACAGCCAGAGUGACUUUAAAAUCCACAUCACACAAAGAGGUGCUGGAGAGAUUUGAUCUGUGUGACUGACUAUUCAAAAUAACCUCAUCUGUAUCUCUUGGACUAAUAUGAAUUAAGUUUAGAUUAGAUUUCAUACUUCUCUGAAUAUUUCAGUGCACUUCCUGGCAGUUUAAACAUUCCCAUAAUCUGGAUUUAACUCACAGAGUUGCAGAAAGACCAGGGACUCAAAAGGUCCAACCUCCUUCAAUGCAAUAAUUGUGUAGAGAAAAUGCAUGCUUCAAAACAUAUUUUGAAUUAAAUAAACAUCUAAAUAUAUUUUAAAAUACACAUUUUGCAUUUGUAUAUUUCAAAAAUAUUCACAGAUUAAUGCAGAAAUUGAACUGGAUUUUGGAAGGAAUAUGCUAAUGUAGCAGGAAAGAGGAAUGGAUUUGCCAAUACUUAAAUCAAAAGCCAGUUCAUGCCACCACAAGUUAGUCCUUGGGGUCUGGGAAUCUCAUAGUAACAAGAGGUGAAAUAAAUCUUCCAGAACUCCACUGUAGAUUUUGGUAGUGAAAUUUGCUGGAGCUCCUCCCCCCCCCCCAGAUAUGCAAAUAUUUGUAGAAUUUGUCAUCAGAGUUUGACACCCAAUGAUUGUGUAGUAAGUAACUGCCAACAUUUGACAGUAUCAGACAUGUAGCAAUCAACCUUUGACAGUAACUGACAACCAGAGUGGAAUGGCAGCCCGUAUGUGACAGCUUCUGGCAGCUGCAUUGCAAAUUUUGUACUAAUUUCAUUUGUUCAGUUACAGUGCAAUGCUUCACAGGUUAAUUCAGAAAUAAGUGCCACUGACUUCAGUGAAAUGUACUCCCAAGUGAGCAUGCAUAGGACUGCAGUCUUAAUUUCAUUUGUAAAAUAUCCUCUUGAAGAGACCAAUAAACCAAAGUACCCUUAUUUUGAAUUCUGAUGUCAGGUUUUAAUUCGAAACUCGAAUGUUGCAUUUAGGAGUCAAAUUUCAACAUCAAAAUCCAAACUGGGGCAUUUGAAAAUGUUACGAGUUUUGAUUCCCCUUCCCUCCAAUUAUUUAUUUAGCUAAAGCUCUGAUGGAGAUCUAGGGGGGAAUAUAUGGGAAUGUGGAGUAGGCCUGAAAGCAAAUGGAGCCAUCAUUAUUGCUUGCAGGACCAAAGGUAUAUAGAGUUACAUUACGUGAGCUAAUGGCUGCUGGAAAUUUGAGAAGACCUGUACAUUUCACUUUGAGCGAAAAGAUAAAUACAGCAAAAAACAUGGUGUCUAUGUCUGAUUAGAACAAGUUAAAGUACAGUUUGGAAAAAUGGAAAUCAGAGAGAGAUUACACACACACAACACACAAACCAUGAUGGUUUUUGGAAGGCCUUUGAUCCAGAAAGGACGUGGUUUCCAAAUUAUAACAAUCAUUAAAAAAAUAAAAACACUAUCCAUUUUAUCAUUUUAUUAAAUAAAAGCAAAAUCCUAAAACAUUAAAAAGGAAAAGAACAGAAACCACAAGCCUAACAGCAGGUAAACACUCUUAGGGUUUGUCCACACUUACGCUUGUCUUUCCACUAUCCCCCAUGAAAACUCACUCGUUACAGCUGAAUCGGGGCAAACAUCGAUCAGGUUUUCUAUGGAUAGAUGUUUGCUCUGAUUCAGUGGUAAAGAAAAAGUAUUCCUGGGGAAAGUGGUGGGAAAAUGGAAAACCACUCAGACCAUGGGUGUAGCCAAGGGGGGUAGCUGCCCCCCCCAUUCAAUAAAAAUCAAUAGCAAACUGAGGUUCUGCCCCCCGCCCCCUGCCCAACAAAAAUCCUGGCUAUGCCCAUAACUCAGACCUGUAUCUAAAAAAGCAUGGGACAAGCUGAAACCCUCCUGGAGCCAUGUUGUUUUUUUUAGGCACAGGACAAGUGGAAAUCCUUAGAUUACAAUUAAAUUAAAAACUAGCCUCCCUUUCAGCUGGAUGCUGGAAUAGAAAGAUUUGUGGCACCUUCCUAAAGAUUAAGAAAGCCAGCCUACAGAGCUUCACUGGGGGAAGAAUUGUGCACUGAGGGUGCCCCUGCUCAUUGCACCAAUUAAAAUUUGGAUAAAAGGGGAAAACAGAGCUGGAAUUCAUGUGAACAUCUUACGCUUAGUAAAGAGGCCCACAUGGUAUAAAGCACUCCCGAGAUAAUCUGGGUCAGAGCUUUUGAUCCAGAUACAAAGAGUCCUUAUUCAUGUUAAUGGAAAAAGUUGAUCACAUCAAAGGAGGCAAGGGGCCUUCUUGGAUGGUCACUGAAAGCGUUCAUGAAAGACACCUCCUUCACACCUUUUUCACCUCCUGGUCCUGGUCCUGUCAAUGGUGGCAGCUGCACUCCCCACUGCUCCUUGGUACCACUUUUGUCCUUAUUCCUACCCACAAUGCUGUGGAUGUGGGUGAGUGUUUGGGGGUGCAUUAAAAACAUUGCCCUCUCUCUGAAAUGGCUUCAAACAUUGCCUUGUUUCCUCCAUAGCGUCUUCAUUUGUUCACAAAGUCCAAUCCAUGUGAGGGGAGUGCUUCCUGUCCUCACUAUGAUUUGGCUGCAUGACACCAUGAAACCCACAGCAAUGAUGAUAAGCAGCAGAAGGGAGUAUGGAUGCCGUCACCAGUAAGUGGAGUGAACAUUUUUGCCUCUUUUGCAGAGUCCUCCCAAAGGUGUCCUAAAUACCUCUCCAUCUUUGCAGCCUGUGAACAGGGCAGCAAAACCAUGUGGGUGUGCUUAAGUUGAGCCCUAACAUAAAAGCUCUUUUUUUGAAAUGUGAUCAUUCACUGUGGGGAUUUGGAACAUCCUUUGAUUAACUCUUCAUGCAGUGCAUAGUGAAACCGUGAGCUUGUUCCUACGGGAGACAUUGGUGGCCACCCAUUUGGGUGGCUUUAAAAGUGGAUUGGAUAAAAUCAUAGUCGAAAAGGCUAUCAAUGGCUACCAACCAUGAAGGCUACGUUCUACACCCACUGUUGGAGGAGGUGUGUCUGAUUAUCAGUUGCUGGGAUUGGAUAAGUGGGAAGAGUGCUGUUGCUGUCAUUCCCAUCUUGCAGACUUCUCACUGGCAUCUGGUUGGCCAUUUUGAGAACAGAUGCUGUACCAGAUAGGCCAUUGGUCUGGUCCGCCAGGCUCUUAUAUUCUUAAGUCCCUGAAGUUCACCCAAAACAAGAGUGGAGAUGUCGAGAGAGUAAAAUGUUUGCAAGGGAAGGUGAGGACAUAUUCAGAAACUCUAACCAGACAUGGAGAUAUCCCCCUAGAAAGAGGAAUUGAAGUGGUGUUUGAGACCCCCUGCCUUCCCUUCAUUUCUGUGGCAUCUCUUAACCAGGGGCUUCUGCAAGUGCCCUUAAACACUGCAUAGUUCACAUUUAUCUUCCCAAAGCCAAUGCCCAAUCAUCUCCACUUCCUUUCGAUUUUUCCACUGCUGCUCUUUAUUGUAUAUGACAUCUAUCAGAGAGACUUGCUCCUCUGUCAGUAAACAUAUCCCUGACUUUGCUUUGUGUACAGUUUUCUCCCCUUGGCAUGCGGCUGCUCCCAACGGAAUGGAACUUCUGUUCUGACAGCUGCUUGUUCUGUGUAGAGGGGGAAUGAAACUGGAGGAAACAAUGAGAUCGAUCAGUGGGCUCAGAUAAAAGCAAACAACGGAAGGGGGUGUCAGGGAAAUAAAUUGGGAAAGGGAUAUUGCCACCACUUGGGAGGGGGCAUCAAAGAGAGGGAGAGAAGCUUGAAAGAGCAAGAGGAAAAUGGCAGGUGGGCAAAUGGAUCUGUGUGGGCAAAUGGAUCUGCUUCUCCAGAACAUCUUGUUUCAUGAGAGCUGCUGAGAAGCUGAAAACUCUGAUCCAAGGGAGAAAGAGAGAGAAAGAGAGAGAGAAAGAGAGAGAUCAAAACUGGAAUGUAAAGAGACCCCUUACACCAGGGGUUGGAAACCUUUUUCAGUCCCAGGUUUGCAUUUCUUCAUGAGAAACUUUCCAGGGGCCACCUGCCAAUGGUGUGCAGAGCAAGAGGGAAAAGUGUACAAAGCAACAGAUUUGACUUUUACCAUUGUACAGUGGGUUACAUACCAGACACAGCAAUUGAGAGUUUUCUAUAUGCACACACAUCUCUCCAUCACAGUCCAAAGACACAUUCUAGCCGGACAAAGGCACUUGAGCAGGGCCACUGAGAGAUGGAGGCAAGGAGUGUGGCCUAGCAAGAGACCCAACAGAGUCCAGAGAGACUGACACGGAGGCCUGGAGGUUCCCCACCCCUGCCAUACACUGUGGCAGUCCAACAGCCUGAGUGCAUCCCUAUAAUAACUAGUAGAGGUCAGUUAUUAUUUAUUAUAUUGCUAUACGAUUGAGAGGUUGGUUUGGAUGCUAUAUUUGGACCUCAACCAAUCCUGUGAUUGUCUACCAGCAAGACUGUAGCCUAUAUUGGAGGGAACCCGCUGAAAUGGUCAAACCAGUCGCUUUGUUGCAAUAAUGGCCCUAGCUGGGCCUGUGAGCAUCCUAUCUGCAUGACUGAGGAGUUGGCCAUGUUGCCAUAGAGACCACAGUCCUCCAGGAAAGCUUUUACUCUGCUCAGCUGGCUAGGCAUUGCUUCAUCCUAGAAGUAAGAGAACAAUAAACCUGGGGCUAUUGUUAGUUUGGUCUGGAGCUUGAAGCUGAAAAGACAGAGGUGAACUUGCUGUCUGUGCUGAGGUUCAGCACUAUGCCCCCCCCCCCACGGUUGCAUAUAUGUGUAAAUAAAACCAUAUAUUCUAAAGGCACCACAGUCUCCAGUGACCUUCAUUUCAAGGAAACCAAACCCAAUGUAACCACUGGAGUCCUUCAAUGCUCAGAGAAACCUUGGAGAGCUGCUGCAUGUCAGUGUAGGCAAUGCUGAGUUGGAUGGACUAAUGGUCUGAUUCAGUAUAAGGCAACUUACACUGUGUCACUUGGGAUUGCAUUGCCCACCCAUUAAUGGAGGUCGAUCAGUAGCUCCUAGUUAGGAUAGACUAUUGAUUAUUUUAGCUAAAUGGAGAGAGAAUAUUGCCACUAAAUACCAGUUACUGAGGAGGGACAGCAUAGCAGGUUAUUGCCUUCGUGAGUUAUGGUACUUAUGGGCUUAUCAGAGGCAUUUGAUUGACCAGGUUUCGAAACAUGAUAGAUUAGAUGGGCCUAUGUGGUCUGUAUAGCAGGACUCUCAUUCAGACUUUAAGUUUAAAAGAAAGAGAGAAACUUAAGGCCUAUACAGUUUUUACAUUGCUAUAUUUUAUGGCCUGGUGCAUUCCUUUGUAAUUGGGAUUUUCUUCUCAUUAAAUAUAGAAUAAGACAUAGUUUCUUAUUGAACUCAAGGAUGCGUUUCAAGCAAAUAGUUUUAGCAAUGCUAUAACCUAAAAAAAAAAAAAACCCUCACACACAGUGUGAAAAGUUUAUGAACAGCAGCAGAUAGCGGAGGUAAAACUACUGUCUUGGGAUUUAAUGCGACCGUGUAAUGUUAUUGGGACAAUUGUGCACAGGAAUAAUUGUUUCAAUCAUAUUCAGCACGAGUAAGGCUUUUGAAAUUAAAUAAUUUAUAAUGUAUAUUAAGUUAAAUAAUCUAGACAGUCAACCCAACGCAUUGCAAUUGGGGGAAGUACAUAUAUUAACCUCGAGGGAACAACUGCUAUUCCUACUUAACUGUCCAGGGCUGCUAUGAAUGCAUUUAAUGUAUAUUAUUGCAGCCGUAAAUUGAAAAACAAGAUGAGAAUUCCUAACGUUACUGCUGACCAUGAUGGACUUGGAGUGGGACUCUAUAAAAACAGCCUAGAAUGUGCUUAAUCCCUUUAAAAGAGGGUCUUAGAGCUCAAGGCUGCAAGGAAAGCACAGCCUCUGGUCCAAUUCUAAAUGUGUGGGGUGGAUUGUUGCAACUUCUAACACAUGGGGAGCCUGUGCAGAAAGGCUCAUCUCUGGGCUGCACAGUAACACCAGAAAACUGCGCUCACAUGGGUAUCCAUCUUUCUAAGUGAUUGCCAACUGCUUAUAUCAAAGAGAGGUUAUAGCUAUAUGGGAAACAGCCACAGCACAAAGUCCACAAAGACUGUGGACAUUGGCCAUUUCAAGUAUUGUGAAGAAAUCCUGCUAAAAGGAAUAGUAGUGUCCCCCUGUGGCCAGAGGUUGGGCUGAAACAACACCCUACAUAAGGAGACCAAAAUAGGUGUGAGCCUCAGUACCCCUAGUUGGGCACUCCACUUCUGGAUAUUCCAGGCUCAUGAGAUGACGGUGUAGUGCCAGAGGCUUUCCUUCUAUCUGGCUUACUUAGGGGGAGUAGGCAAGUCCUGUGUAGAUAAAGGUCCUGAUAAGAUACUGGAAGAGGCAGGUGCAUCAUGCCCAGUCUGAAGCCAUUAGUCCUUGUCUAUUCAGUGCUGAGUGGGAUGCGGGUGGCGCUGUGGGUUAAACCACAGAGCCUAGGACUUGCCGAUCAGAAGGUCGGCGGUUUGAAUCCCCGCGACGGUCCCAGCUCCUGCCAACCUAGCAGUUCGAAAGCAUGUCAAAGUGCAAGUAGAUAAAUAGGUACUGCUCCAGCGGGAAGGUAAACGGUGUUUCCGUGCGCUGCUCUGGUUCGCCAGAAGCGGCUUAGUCAUGCUGGCCACAUGACCUGGAAGCUGUCUGCGGACAAACGCCGGCUCCCUUGGCCAAUAAAGCGAGAUGAGCGCUGCAACCCCAGAGUCGGCCACGACUGGACCUAAUGGUUAGGGGUCCCUUUACCUUUACCUUUAUUCAGUGCUGAUGCAACAACUCUCAGAGGAAGCUCCCCACCUCGCUGUGCAGAUGGAGCUCUGGAUCCCUCUGGACAGUUCCUUGGGUGGCCCAGGCCUCCUGCUCAGUACCUGCUCUGACUGAUUGAGCCCUCUACACCGCUCAACAUCAAAAGAAGCAGACACCCAGAUGUGCUUGAUGGUAAUGCAGGCCUUGGAGCAGACUGUGGCUUGAAUGGCAGCAGUUGGGGCUUCCUGUAGAUACAUUUGGCAUAGGCGGGAAGAAUCCUCUUCAUCGUCUGUAGUUCCAAAUUGCUCCUCCCAGAAUCUUGCCAGUGGUUUGGGUUUGCCCGGGAACAGGCGGUGGAAUUCCUCCACCAGAUACCCGUCAUCAAUUGCCUCCGCGGGAACCCACGUGUUUUCCGACCCGGGUUCUCCCUCCCAAGCUACCAAGUACUCCACCUGGCGUCCUCGCCACCUUGAAUCAAGUAUUUCCGUGGCCAAGUGGUGGUGCUCCCUCUCUUCUACCUGCGGGUGUGUGGUGACUUCUCCCUCUCGCCCCGGGAAUUCCCGCCCCUCCCUGUACGGUGAGAGUAGGGACCUAUGGAACACCAGGUGUAUUUUCAUGCUGUCAGGCAACUUGAGCUUGAAUGCCACGGGGUUCACCUGCUGUGUUACCUCAAACGGUCCCAGCCGCCUGGGCUGCAACUUCUUGCACCCCCCCUUAAAGGGUAACCCUUGGGUUGACAACCACACCCUGUCCCCCACCCGUAUGGUCUCCCCUUCCCUACGGUGCUUGUCUGUCUGCCUCUUGUAAAUUUCCUUGGCCCGCUCCAAGUUCAUCUUAAGUUGCUGGUGCAGGGCCUCCAUUUCUUCCACAAACUGCUCUGCCGCAGGUACGCUCCAACUUUCCUCCCCACUCCCCGGGAAGGCCCUGGGGUGACACCCAUAAUUGGCCAUGAACGGGCUCAUUCCCGUGGACACAUGUUCAGCGUUAUUGUACGCAAAUUCAGCCAGCGCUAGUUUCUCCACCCAAUCGUUCUGCCUCUCGCUGACGUAACAGCGUAGGUAUUGCUGGAGUAUACUGUUCGCUCUUUCUGCUUGCCCGUUGGUUUCCGGGUGUCUCGCCGUCGAGAAGCCCACUUCGACCUGUAGGAAGCUUAUGAGCUUCCUCCAGAACCGGGAAGUAAAUUGUUUCCAACGGUCGGAGAUAACCCUCGAGGGAGCCCCAUGCAACCUGAAGAUAUGAUCUACAAACAACCUGGCUGUUUCCUCUGCCGUAACCGCAUGUGAGCAGGCUAUAAAAUGGCACAUUUUUGUCAGUAGAUCGACCACUACCAUGACUGCUGUCUUUCCCCGGGACUUGGGCAAAUAGGUCAUAAAAUCAAUGGACACCACCUCCCAGGGUUUUCCCGGCGUGGGUAAGGGUUCCAGUAAUCCUGCGGGGGCAACCCGCUCCCCCUUUGCCCUUUGGCAGCGGUCGCACCCCCGUACAUAUUCCCGUACAUCCUCCCUCACCCUGGGCCACCAGAACUGCCUGGUGACGAGCAUCAUGGUUUUGUGCUGUCCAAAGUGUCCAGCUGUGGGGUUGUCGUGGAGUUGUUUGAGUACCUUCCCCCGUAGGGUCUCCCCCGGUACAUACAGCGCCCCCUUAUAGUACAGCACCCCUUCCUUCUCCUCAAACCCUCCUUGGGUUUCUCUUCCGUCUCGGAGUUCCCGGAUUUUAGUUUGUGCGAACAUGUCGUUUCUAGUAAGUCCGGCCAGUUCUCGUUUCCCCACCAAGAUUCCCCCACACACCCACCGGUCCUCGGGGAUCACGUGUCGUAUCUCCGGCGGCCCCUCUUCUUUCCAGUACUCUGGCUUCCGGGAGAGAGCAUCUGCUCUCACGUUUUGCUCUCCUGGUACGUAUCGGAUUUCGAAGGAAAACUUGGAGAACUCCUGUGCCCAUCGAAUCUGCCUCUGGUUGAGUACUCGUGCGGUCCUCCAGUAUUCCAAGUUCUUGUGAUCUGUACAAACCUGGAUCUUGUGCUGCGCCCCUAUUAGUAGAUGGCGCCAUCGACGAAACGCCGCAUAGAUCGCAAGCAGUUCACGGUCAUACACAGUAUAGUUUUGCUCUGAUUUGCUCAGCUUUCUCGAGAAAAAGGCACACGGCUUCCAUUCCUGCUUGCUCCUCCCUGGCUGCAAAAGAACUGCCCCAAUGGCUCUGUCGGACGCGUCGGUCUCUAGCCUCAUGGGUUUCUCCAGAUCCACGUGCAGGAGCUGCUCUUCCGAUGCGAACGCCUUCUUCAGUCUUUCAAAGGACUGCUGGGCCCCCUCUGUCCAGACGAACUUCCUUUUGCUACUGAGACAAUCUGUGAUGGGCGCUGUCAAGUGGGCGAAGUUCUUGAUGAACUUCCUGUAGAAGUUGCUGAACCCUAAGAACCUCUGCACAUCCUUCCGGGUUUUGGGAGCCUUCCACUCCAGCACUGCCUGCACCUUGCUUGGGUCCAUCGCUAGGCCUUUGUCUGACAACCUGUACCCCAGAAACUCGACUUCUCUGGCGUGAAACUGACAUUUUUCCAGCUUGACCCACAACUGGUGUUUCUGCAGUCGUUUUAGCACUUCCCUGACGUCCCUGACAUGUUGCUCCUCAUUGUCCGAAUAGAUUAAGACGUCGUCCAAGAAGGCUACGCAGUUCUUGUACAGCAGGGACCCCAGCACGUGGUGCAUGAAAGCUUGAAAACAGGCGAAGCCCAACUGUAAUCCAAAAGGCAUAACUAGGUACUCAAAGGCCCCUAGGGGUGUGAACAUUGUGGUCUUCCAUUCAUCCCCCUCCCUCAUCCUAAUCAAAUUGUGUGCUCCCCUGAGGUCCAGCUUGGUAAAAAUUUCCCCUUGCCUCACCCGUGUUAAAAUGUCGUCAAUCCUGGGCAUAGGGAAGGUCACGGGUUCCGACACCAAAUUGACGGCCCUAUAGUCCACAACGAGCCUGGGUUUAUUUGUGUCCUUUUUGUCCACAAAGAACACCGGACUGCCCCCCACCGCUUUUGAUUCUCUUAUGAAGCCUCUUUUCAGGUUCUUGUCAAUAAAUUCCCACAACUCCUUCAUCUCCCUGUCCGACAUGGCAUAUAGUUUACCCACCGGCAGCUGCGCCCCCGGGAGCAAGUUGAUUUGGCAGUCAAAGGGCCUAUGGGGGGGUAGUCUAUCCGCCUCCUUCUCGCUGAAGACCUCCUGCAGGUCAGCAUAUUGUGGUGGCACCUCCCCUUUCCGCUCCACGGCUAUCCCAGCCACCCUGGCCACGGUCAUUCUUGGGGUUUCCCCCCCUAGACAGUGUUCCAAACAGUAAGCGGACCCAAAGGUGACCGUCCUCUGAUGCCACGCCACCACUGGAUCAUGUUGUGCUAGCCAGCUCAUCCCUAAUAUUAUUGGGGGCCCUGCCAGUGAGGCUACGUGAAAGGUGAUGGUCUCCGAGUGCCUGGAAACCCUCAUUCUCAUUGGUGGGGUCUGGUGUGUCACUUCCCCUCCCAGAAGCUCUCUGCCAUCAAUGGUGGUUACUUGCAAGGGGAAAUCUAAGGGCAGCAGGUGGAGCUGGUGCUCUAGUACAAAGUCCUUGCUGAAGAAAUUGCAGGAACUGCCUGAAUCCAACAGCCCUUUCACCUUGACUGGGUGCCCAUUCGGGAGUUCUAGCACCACUUCUAUGGCUAUAGCCGCCCUGAGGGGGUCUGGUUGGGGCACUUCUAUUGGUUGCUGGCCUGGCUGCUGUGCCCGCUGAGUGGCAGCCAAGCGUUGUCGUUUCCCUGCUCCUUUCCCUUUUCCACUCCCCCCUCACCCCCUGCAGCUCCCACCAUUCCUUGCCAGGCCUUUCUUUGAGGGCAGACCCUGGCAAAAUGUCCUGGCCGCUGGCAGAGGAAACACUUCUUAUUAGUUCUCCAAUCCUUUCCCUCCUUCUUGCGACCGUCGCUGGAAUUUGAAACCUCCCGCGCGCGCGCCCCAUCUAUUUCCAUUGGCUUCGCCUGCCGGCAAGCCAGCCUUGGUAUUUCAGGAAUGCGGUAGUCAUGGUAACGUUGCUCUCUCCCUUCCCGCUUCUCCUGAGCCCGCGCUUCCUGCCUUACACCAAUCGCAAGCACAGCCUUGGUCAGCUGAUCCAUCGACUGCGGGCGGGAUGCGCGGGAAAGCUCAUCCUUCACCGUUGGGGACAACCCCUCCUCGAACAACAUUUGAAUGGGUUCAGAGUCCAGUUCCCACCCGAGCCAGUGAACUAACAUGGCAAAGCGUGACCAGUAGUCUCUAACUGACUGGUGCCCCUGUUUACAGUUCAUCAGUUCCCGCCGAGUCACACUUUGCUGUACAUCACUGGAGUACAUUGCGUCCAUCGCCUGGAAAAAUUUCCUCAGGUCCUUCAAGGCGGCAUUCUGCGUUGCCAUUAGGGGCCUGAUCCAUUCCCUGGCCCCAUCCUGCAGACGCCCAACAAUAUAAGCAACCCGCUCCCCGUCGUCUGCAAAAUCAUUCUGCUGCAGUUCCAAAGCGUACUCUAUUUCCGUUCGGAACGCACUAUAGUCCUGGGGCUUCCCUCCAAAUUUGUGUACCAGUCCCGGUACCUUCCUUGCUACGGGGGUGGGUCUGACCUGUGCAUCUUGAGCCCGCCUUUCGUCCAGCCGCGCCGUCAGAAGAGCCACAUGCUGCUCCAAAUCUCGGUUCCUCUCCACCAGAUUUUGCACUCCGGCUGCUCCCUCCAUGGCGCCAGGGACUGACGGAUUGCUAUAAUGGGUAUGGGGUUGCUCGUGCUUAAGUUGCCGCCUCUCCUGGCUAUGUUGCCUUGUUAAACCUUUCUGUCUGGACAGCCCUUCAAUUCGUGGCUGCCUCAGUCGCUAGCAGAAUCCGUCAGUGGGCGUUUCUUAAACCUCUUCCAACAUAAAAGUUGUUUGAUGCCCAGUCUCCUCCUACUCUCCCUGCGUGGAAGUCUUCUGCACAGGGAGGGCGUGGGUAGCGGAGGACCAGUGCUCUCCCUGCUGGUGUCCAGUGAAGAGUCCUGGAGCCCUCUCGCCGAUUCCCCCAUCUGCCCCCUUUAUCCCUGGUGUAACGUUGAUUUGCUUCCCCCUCUGCUGAACUGCCUCUCUCCCUGCUUGGCCCUUCUCCAGCAUCAUUUGAGAGCCUUCCCUCCGCCUCAGGCUCCGAUGUCAGUUCCCUGACAGGUGAGCUAGUCAGUUAGGGCUCAGAUGUCAACAGGCCCUGGUGUACGUAAAAAAAGAUGUCAGUGAUAAUGAUAACUUGAAGCUACGUUCAAUAUGUGUACAUAUAGUCAGUUCCUAAGUCAAGGCGAAGCACUUGAAGAGAGAACUUCCUGUGAAGGUGAAUGAGAGGAGGAAGCCAGUUUGGGCCAGGAGGCUCAGGAGUUAAAUUACUUAACUGUACUUAAAUUAAGCUGUUCAUGUUUGAGAUUCAUGUGCCUCAAGUCUGUUUCUGUGAAAGACAGCUGUGGUGGUUUGUGUAUGCUCUUCGCAAUAAGCACCCUCUGCUCACUCAGAUAGAUAUUUACAGUUCUUUAUUUUACAUAUGUACAAGCAGCACAGUACAAUCAUGCAUCCGAAUUGUCCGGUUCAGAUUUGGGGAGUGGUCUUCUCUUGCUUCUCGUCCAACAGAAGAGGCGGGGGAGCUUCAUGGGACGUCUCUGAUCCCUGCACUUUAACCCUCUCCUUUCCUGUGCCGAAUGCACAGGCAUAGGGGCUACGUCUGUUCCUGAGCUCCCUGUGCGGUGCUGGGGCUCUGUUUCAGCAUCGGAGAGCCUUCCCACCUCCUGGCUCUCUCCCUCUUCCCCUUCUGUCACUUCCUCUCCGUCUCCUUCUGACUGUUCCCGCUCUGACUCUUCUCCUCCACCCCCACCCCCGACUCAAAGGUGUUCCUUGGCAGUCCUUGCCCUGCUGGGCAACAGCACAAUAUGCACCCCUUUUACAGUAGCAGAUUGAAGAUACUAGCUGUGGACAAGUGGAUGGGUGUGAUUUGAAGAGGAAAGUGAAGGGCCAUGGGGCCCACUCAUCCCUCUAGCCAAGGGCCCCCAUUAACCUGCAGUCAGCCUUGAGCCCUAGUCACUAAAGCAUCAUCUUAUUACCUUUUUGGCAGACCCAGUUAGAUCAAUGACCCUCAACACAGCUAUGAUUAUUACCUGCAAUACCAGCAAAAAAUCUUUAUCUUUGUCACAGAGCUACUUUAUACCAUCAUUUCUCUACAUAAAACUUGGUCAUAAACUGACAAUUUCAGCAUUUUACUAUAUGUAAAAGCAUUUUAAAAACCUGUGAAUUAGGUCUCACUUUAGUAACCUAUCUGAAGCUGCUGACUUCAGUCUAAGUAUAGCAUAGUCAGGCCACUUAAAUCUCAUGAACUCUGCUGGAUUGCAGCAUUUUCUCCAUUUCCAAAGGUUCCAGUGCUUUCCAAGUUUAUACAAAUGUCUGUUGCAUCAUGCAGAUGAGGAUUUUAUUUUAUUUUUUGUAGUCUAAGCUAUAAUUGUGUGGCACUCCCCCACCAUGAGGCCUAUUUGACUGAGGACUUUGGACUGCACUGAAGCAAUACUGAGAGAAUUCUAUAAAUGUAAACAUAGUGAUUACUCCAUAAAAAUUAUAUGUGCACUCUAAAAUAAUACAUGGCAUAAUAUUGUAUGCUAGGCUGUUAAGACAUUUACAGAGGUCAUAAGGAUGAUAUAUGUAUGAAUAGCAGCACAGCCAAGACUUAAAUGCAAUUAAGAUGGUUUUUAUUAUAUAAAAUAUUACAUCCCACACAGAAACAGCUUCUAUUUAAUUAUUUUGUCCAACGUGCCUCUUUUCAUUCCCCACCCCCCUUCCUUCUCCUCCUGGCUACAUUACACACUGGAGGAGGUUAUUCUGCCUUCAUGGGUUUUAGCUUAAUUAAUUGGCUAAUCUCUCCAAGAACAGUUUUUAUCUAAAAUGUUUAUGCACAAUCUCUUAAUUAACGGAAAGAAGAAAAAAAAUGCUUAUGGAUUGGUAACCAAGUCAUUUGCUGCCUCUUGCAAUUACAUUUGACCCAUGACAUUGCCAUUAGCAUUUUUGAACUAAAGCAUAUUUUACAUUUGAUUUCAGGGUCAUGUACAAUAGGUUGCAUAGGGUUACAUAAUCUACAUAAUAAUGCUGUAUGGAUUCAAGCACAGAAGGUCCACGGACUCUUUCCAUCUGAAUUCAAAUGAGCAAUGCAUGCUCUGUGUUACCCUCCCUCAUGUGCAAGCUGUAGUGGCUUUUAGAGGUGCACCAAAUGUUCAUUUUGAUGCUAAAAAAACAACAACAACCCAAACCCUAAAACAUUUUUGUUGUGUCAGUCCUGCUUUGAGGAAUGUUAACUCCUCUCUCUGCCCCUUUCACUGUUUUCUUUUUUCCCUGUUGUGAUUCAGUGUCUAACUGGCAGCUUCAAUGGCUUUUAAAUAUAACAACUGGGGUUCUUUCUCCUAAAACAUGACCCUUUCCCCAACCAGGGAUUACCUAUAUGGCCUGUUCCUUAGGCAAUAAACGAGGGCAUUUUGACAGACACAUAACUUCAAUGCUUUGUAAAAAUACUGAAAACCAAUGGUUUGAAUGAAAUUCUUCAUUGGGUCAAUUGUACUGGCGAGGUCUCUUCCAUCAGCACUGGAUUUAGGGUGGCGCAGGUGGUUCCCCCACACAGGGUGACAAGCCAAGGGGCACAAAACAACAACAACCUAUUUCUCAUAUAUAUAGGGAGGUGCCAAAUUUUGUCCUCUCUCAUGGUGCCAUAUCACCAAACGCCUCCCCUGCUUCCACCCUUCUGUUAUUUGUCAUGUUGGAGAAAAUAAUAAUUUCAUAAAACUGUAUUUUGAUGAUUCUGAUUUCUUUUGAGCCUAUGGCCUAGCUAAACUGAAAAGGCCUGUGCCUGCCCACCUUUUGCAGUACAGAACUUGUUGUUUUUAGGUACUGUGUGCAGCGAACGUCUAUUCCAAAACACUGAAAAGAAUAAACUGUUAGACUCUACGGUGGCCGUUGUAUACAUGAAAAGAGAAUCAGCUAGGCAUGGCAAUUGUGAUUUAUCUUGAAUUUUUUUUUGUAGCUAGAUGAAAGAGGACAUUGGAAUACAUUUAAUGAAUAGGAAAAUUAGUCAAAGUCUUAAUAAAGGAAGACACUGAAAAAUGGUUAUAUGUAAUCACAUGAUAUUAUGGUGAGGGCUGAUCUGAAGAGCCAAAGGUUUUUGAUUGGUUCAGGAUGAUGACAUUGGGUUGUGACUAUUAAGAUUGCUGUGAUCCUUUGAUUGGUGAAAUGAAAUGACAUGUUUGAUCUGGAAGUGUAUAAAAAAACAUUGCUUUGGAUGUGGUUCCUUGCAGCCUCCUCCUAAUUUUUGAAUCUGUCCUUAUGUGUAUUUGUAAAUCACUUGGAGUCUGCAUCUUUUUCUUUUCUGUUUCUACGUGGGUAACUUUCAGUCUAGGAACCUCUUUUAAAAUAUCCCCAACAGUCUCUCUGUCUGCUUUUCUACCUCUCUGGUCAGAUAUCAUCCCCCUUAAUCCUGUUGUACUUCUGCUUAAUCCCUUUAACCUUUGGAAUUUUGAAGAGUUGAGGAAAGAUACAGUUAUCUGUAGCUGAUUCUGCUUCUCUCACUUUGAUCAUGGCUGUAUUUCAACAACGUUGCACCUGAAGCAAAAGUCAAAACAACAUCAGUCUCUCCCAUUCAUUUUGAGGGAUAAUGACACAGAAGGAUAAAUGUUUGGAGGCGGGGGGGGGGGAUAGCACUGAGAUAAACUGCUUCAUCGUAAAGACUGCCUUGAGAAUGAUAUUCAUCAACAAUCACAAUCGAUGAAAAAGGUGGCAGCAAUUAAUUGCUUAGUAGAUGUCUAAUGAUUUAAAAUUACUAUUAAUACAAAUUCUUAUAAAAGUUGCAAACUGCAAGUACUUUCUUGAAAGAGGCAAUCCAGCCUAUUAUUAUAAUCUAAUAAUAAUAAUAAUAAUAAUAAUAAUAAUAAUAAUAAUAAUAAUAAGUGGUAUUCAGUUAAGCAUUAUUUGGAGUAGACUCACUGAAACUGCUUCAUAUCUGAUCAGAUCACUGUGUUAGAAAACAUAUAGGAUGCAAGGCAGGAUACAGAUCUGCUUCCACUGUGGUAUAGUCCUUCCUUUACUACUGUGCUGUGGUCCUUACCUGGAACAGCAAUGUUCUCCUAAUUUCUGAUUGAUAUUCUCCCCAAUAUCCAUGCUAGACCUCCUGUUGCCUCUGUUACCUGUAUUAUGGGUUGGUGGCUUCAGUGAUUUGUUAUGAGUCAUAGUUUCUAGAAUGACUUUGUUAAAUUCAGAUUGUAUAUCUUUCAAGGUUCUUUUUCUUCCAGUUGUUUCAUUGCUUUCUUCAAUCUCAAUUGGUUAUAAUGGUCCUCUCUGAAAUGCUAUAAUUUGCAAGGCAUGAAAUGUUGAUAGCGUCGAAUUGAAAACAAAAUGAUGGGGAAUAGCAUUCCUUGGGGUAAUAUUCACCCACUCCAUUUCCCCCCAAAUGUCCCCCAAAUAUUGCAGGUCAGGAUCAAUGCAACAUGACAGCCUGUCAAGAAUCUUGCCAUAAUGACUGCUGAGUUUAGCAAUGGUUGCACAAUUAUUUAUUAUUUCCAUUAUUCCUGUUGGGCUACUUUGGCUAAUAGUUGACUGCAAACCUAUUUUGAGACGUUUGGUGCAUGUUACAGAUCCUGAGUUGUACCUCUUGCCCUAUGCUCUUGGCGCAAUUUAUCACUUGGGGGCAUUUUGCAGAAAUUGUCAUGUGUUUUGCAUUUUGUCUUGCUGUUGUAUUUUUGAAUUUUUAUCAUUUAAACCACCUUUAGAGAUCUCUACUCAGAAAGGGAGCCUAUAAAUAUUUUUUUUAAAAAAAAUUGUCAAGGUGAUCUGAAACGGAAGAGAACUGAUGUAGCUGUUUUGCAAAUACAGUGGUACCUCUACUUACGUUCACCUCCGGUUACGUAUCCUUCGGGAUACGUGCGCAGCAAACCCGGAAGUAUUUUUCCGGGUUUCGCCAUGCGUGCAUGCUUAGAAGCACUCUACAUGCCGCAUGCACGCAAAGAAGUGCUAAACCGUGCUGUGCGCAUGCACAGAAGCUGCAACUCCGGAUAUGCACACCUUGGGAUCCGACCAGAGCUCCGGAACAGAUCCCGUGCGCAACCAGAGGUACCACUGUACUGUGGGUAUCUAGUAAUGAAAAAAGCAACCCUCUACACUUGCAGUAGCCAUUUCUGAAUCUAAUAUGGCCAUCAUGCUGGAAAUGUUAUGACUAGUCUCCAACAUUCACUUGGUCAUUGGGAACAAUUUUCCGGCUCAAAUGCAGCUGAAAUCUUGCCCCAAAUGUAAAUUUGCAACAAAUGCAAUUGAUUCCAAUAUGGCACCUAAAUGCACUACUUGCCAAAUUGACAACAUUAUUUUUCUGGCACAGGCUGACCACUUCUAAUUAUAAGAGACAUUUGUCAUUUGUGGCAACCAGUGUCCUAUGACAGCAAAAUCUAGGGGGUGCAUCCAGCACACAAUGCGAAUGUUCCAUCCUUGCAAGGAUGGCUGGCCUCAACUAGAGCCAGGGCUUUUUCGGCUGUGGCUCCAAUCUGGUGGAACGCUCUGUCACAAGAGACUAGAGCCCUGCAGGACUUGACAUCUUUCCGCAGGGCCUGCAAGACAGAGCUGUUCCACCAGGCCUUUGGCCAGGGCACAGCCUGACUCCCUCCUUCAGCAAUCUUCGCAGAGCUCUGGCCCAAAGGUUGUCAUUAAUCUGAUUGGAAUUAAUUUUAUAAUGAAAUGAUUUUAGAAUGUUUUAUCAUUUUACUGUUGUUAGCCGCUCUGAGCCCGGCUUUGGCUGGGGAGGGCGGGAUAUAAAUAAAAUUAUUAUUAUUAUUAUUAUUAUUAUUAUUAUUAUUAUUAUUUCUACUUGCUCAGUGUUAUACUGCUCCCUCCAUAUAUUUUUUUUAAAUCAAUUUUAGGGAUUGCCCCAACCCUCUGGAGGAGAUUGGGGAGAGCACAUAUGGGGAGAGGAGAUGGGCAUAAAUUCCAUUGUGCAAGCAGAAAUCCUUGCACUGAUGAUGCACAUUUGUUGAAUAUUUCACUAGAAAUUUUUAUUGGUCACUUUAUAUUAAUAUUGGGAGUGGGGAGUUGUUCCCAGCAUCAGUGUACAUGAUUCAUUUUCAGCCUUUUUUUUUUUUUAAAAAAAAAUUCAUAAUCCUUAGGCAAAAAAGCACUUAUAGGCACCAUGCCACAGUACAAGCUCAAUUAGCUCUCCUUGAACAGGACCAGACAUUUCUUCAAAUAAGAAGGGAAGUCCACUGACAAUGUUGGCCAGCUGGGGCCCUACUGGGCAGCCAGGUCACCUGAUCCUUGAUGAACUGAAAAGGGCUGCCAGACCCUUCUGCCAGCAAGCAGCCUGGGUGGCAAUCCAGAGAAUAAGAUGCCUUGGAAAGGCUGCCAGAGCCCCUGAUUUGAAGCCCCUGUUGCUUGACAAAUGUGUGAGCAAGACUGUAACUUUGAAACGUGAUUCAGAAAUUAGGAGAGGCAUUUCUUUUUUUCUGCUGCUGAUUGGAAUGGGCUUACGUCACUCCAUUUCAGUUGGCAUUGUUGAAUUGUAUUAGCACACAGUGGGCCAAUAUUAAUUUCCACGCAUCUAUAAAAGCAGCACAUUUUUGAACUAAUAUCUCAGCGAGGCUGUUUGCCCAGUUGCAGGUCAGGGCAAUGCUAAUCUACAAUGUAUUAAUAUAAUACAAGUCCAGUCAGUCCUUCUAUGCUACAGCAUUUCUAUUGCCAGCUCCUAGAAAAUGUAAUAGGUUUGCUGCACUUUUCGAGGUGCACUUUUGACCUUGGUCUCUGGAGGGAAUUCUCAGAGGCCAGUCAUCCAUGUACUGCAAGAAAUUAGUAUUUCUGCUCUGGGAUGAGCUGCUGUAGCUGGUAUAUGUCUGGGGAUUGUGUGUGUGGGAUGCAACUUAUUCCGAAAGCUAAUACAGCAAGGCAAGAUUGAUUUGCAUGGCAUCAUUUGAAGGACUUGGAAAGGAAGAAUAAUUGCAGUUUGCUGUCCGAAAGAGAUGAAGCAUGAAGAGAUGUAUGAUACAUUUUUCAUCAGAUAACUUUUCAGAAGAGCAGCUCCCAAACUUAUUAAUAUGAUUCACCAUUGCAAUUUAAUUUUUGCUGCUGCUGGUGGGUAUCCACCCCACAAGCUGGAAGAGAUCCUGUAAUUGACUAUAUGCAGUGCAUUGUUUGCAGAGGCUUGGAGGCCAAAAGUAGCCUUCCAGGGCUCUCUGUCUGAUCCUUUGAACUCUCCCCAGGCCGCACUUCCACCCCAUCCACACCCCCUCUACCCAAGCCUUUACUCUGAGUCCUCCUUGACUGUUUUUGCCUGGCUGAAAUGGGUUCUUGAACUCUGAUAAUGUCUCUUGCACACCUGGAUGGGGGACAGAAGGGUGUGUGAGAGUGUGUGGGGGAACAGUUAAUUGUUUGAUUGCACACUAGAAUGGAGAAUGCCUGUAUGUACAUAUUGCUGAAGGGUUCAACACUGGAAAAUUCCAUUGGAGUAUACUAAGCUAAAAGAGUGCUCUCUGAUCUUCUAGCUGAGCUGAUAAUUAAUUGUUUGUGUUCUCUGCUAGCUCUCACAUGUGUGUUUAACCUUAGAUCUCAUGAGGGUAUUCAACUGCAAAUUUGCCCUCUUGAAGGGAGUUGCCUGUUAGUCUUUCUCUGGACACCACAGAGACAACAAAGGAUGUGAUAAUGAUACCUGUCCAGGAACUGCAUAGCCUUAGGCUGGAUGCAAGCUAAUGUAAGCUAAGGAGGAGACAAGGCAUUGAUUUUUGCUCUCAUCAUAAUUAUGUUAUAUAUUUAAGAAGAACCGCCUAUGCUUGGAUAGGCAUAUGUUUUAUGGAUGUAUCGCUGAUGGUUUUGUACCUGUUUUGAAGAAGUCCUGGUAAGUAAAGCUUUGAAUCAUGAUUAUGAGUCUGGGCAAUUUUUAUUCCAAAAAGAGUCAUUUUUAUGCAUCCAAUAGUUUCAUGCUGCACGAUAUUAAUAUCUGCAGCAGAAACUAGCCUACUGUACAAAAGUCAAUAUUAUAUUUAUUGCUCCACUCUGGUCCCACUCACCACUGGAAUGGCCCCUGUAAAUUUGCCCAGAAGGGAGUGUGGUCCCACUGAGAGCUGAGCAUGCUCAGUAGUCACGAAAUGCUAAAUGGCUGUUGAGUAGGGGAAAUAAAAGUGUGAGAGAGAGGGGAUGGAAUGAUAUAUCAUGGGAAAGGAUGAGGCUGGCUGGCACAACAAACGGGGCAUUCAACAUACUGCAGAGAUUUGUAGCAGGAACCACUUGUCAUGGCUAAUAGUCAUUGAUGGAUCCAUCUUCCAUUAAUUUAUCCAAUCCCCUUUUAAAGCCAUCUGUGAGAGCAUUGCCUUCAGAGUACUUCUGUUUCUGCCUCUUUGCCUUUCUGGUAAAAUUUCAGCUGAAAUUUCAUAGCUUAUUCCAGAGUUGAAUCUCCUCCCCUCCCCCUUUCCUGAAAGCAGCAACAUACAAAAUUCACUGCUGACAUCAGCACCUGAAGAUCUAAUGAAUUCACUGGCCUGUGCUUUCAGCAAAUUUGGCUCAGCAUCCCUAGUGAGCAAAAUGUCACAUUACCUCUGCUGAGCAGGACAUUUCACAUAAAAUAUUAGCAAAAACAAUUAACUUUAAGCCAUUAAUCCCGUGGAUGCUACUUUGCACCACAUAAGGAUUUAAGCCAAUUCCCUGUAAAUGUCUUUGGCUUAAUAGAUUAUAUUAUGAAAUGUAAAAUUGAGAGAUACUAAAUUAGCUGAAAUAUUAUUUCUAUAUCAAUUUUAGUUGAACAAAUAAGAGCCAGCGAGUAAUAGGGCAAAAGAUUAAUGUUAUAUCAAUAUACACAGGUACAAUUUGCAUAUUUUAUUUUGCAUUUCAUUAUCAUUCAUUUCCACAAAAUUAUUUGGGAAGGCAGGAUAUAAUUUAGAACUUUGCAUAGAAAGCAUGGAGUGAAAAUAAAGGACCAGCAGAAAAAGCUCCUUUCUCCCAUUGCUACAUGCUGCAAAUGAGUAAUGGCGGCAUACUUUCACAUGCUGUAACAUGACCAUGACAUCUUAGGUGGAGGUCAGGCUUAGGUGAAUAAAGGAAUUGUGAGGGAGUUGGGAAAACUGGACUAACUCAGACUAACUUGGGGAAACCGGUAGGAGACAGAUGCAGCCAGCAGAUGAAUAGGUUGGGUUGGAGGAUUUCUUUCUUUUGUUAUAUUUUUUUUUAUCUUGACUGAUCCAAGGAGGCUAACACUAUUGCAGUCUUUAAAAAUAAUUACACAACAAACUGCAACAACUAAUUUUGAGGAGGCAACGAGCAAAAACAGCAAAAGCAAUAAAACCCAGCAGAUAUUCAAAACAAUAAUAGAAGAGCCAAUAAAAAAAACAACCGUAUUCUUUCAGCCCAAAUACUUCUCAAAAUAGCCAGAAUUUAGCCUGUUGCUUGAAGCUGCACAGUAUUCUUUGCUCUGUCAGGUUUCCCUGGAGAAGGCAUUCCAUAAUGUUGGUUCCAUAACAAGAAAGGCCUUGCUUCUAGUGGACCUUCGCUGAUCAUGGUAUCUCCCCUGCUGGACCUCACUCGGUGGAGGUAUUAGGACAGUGUGGCCUCUUAUACAUCACCCCACAACACAAAAAGACCAAAAAAACCCAACCCUACAAAUUUGCAUAGAGUUUGCAUAUGCUAAUUUAUGGGCCGGAUUCAACUAACUGGACCUUCUGGUGAGCCUACACAAGAACUUCCACUUAAUCAAGGGGGCUUUCACCCUCUCCUCCCCCCACAUGCUCACAUGUGCCUCCUGCAAUUCAGGUGGAGGGUUGGGAGAACCCCCAAAACAGUAUGGGCGGUGUGCUUAAAAGCAUUCAGUUGGGGAAGCAGAAAUUCUUGAGCUGACAGAUCAUUUGUUACAGUGUGAGGAUGAAUUCCUCUGUAUAUGUUGAGUCGCAAAUUUAGACAUCAAAAUAGUCUAAACAGAAAUACAAUGCAAGAACUACACCAGGGAAAUCUAUGACUAGGGACCUCUGUGCUUAGUCUGCUUUCGAGAUGCCAAGUGUUUAUGGGCACCCUCAAGAUUCAUUCUCUCCCUUCUUACCUUAAAAGAACACCAGGACCAGAUAACACAUCAAAUGGAAGACACUUUCAGAGGACUGUCCUUUGUAAAGCAGGGCUUGUGACCAUCCUACACUCACAGCCAGGUGAGCAGCAGCAGGGAGUACGGAAGAAAGAAAACACAGUAAAACAGGGAUGAGAAAUGAAUGUGUUGGAAAGCAAAAUGGUCAAGACAGAAUAAAGCUGCUGACUCCUUUAUAUGGACUGAAGGAUGUCAAGGGAUGUUCCACUGCCUGUUACAACCCCAUUAGCAGUAUUCCCAACUAGAGCCAGCUGUGCAUGUAGAUAACAAGCAUUAGGAAGUGGGGGUUGGCUGAAUUCGUUCAGCUUAGUGGGUCACAGGUUGUGCAGGCUCCUCUUGGUGGAAUACUACAAAUCCUUUAACAGCACAUAACUCCAGUAUUCAAAAGCGUGCAGUGGCAGCCCAUACGCUAGCAGGCUAGCUUCAAGAUUAUUGCAUUACUUUGCAAGACCCUUAACAACUCAGGUUGAGGAUACCUCAGGGACUGUCUGAUUCCUUAUAUUCAUGCCCCAUCUUAGGGGUCUUUGGGGCAGUUUGUGUUGGCUCAGAUGCACAGAUCUCAUCCACCAGGAGCCAGGUGUUCAGUUUUCUGGGCCCCAUUUUAUAGAGUUCCCUGCCAGCUGAGUCCUGACUGGUACACACACACACACACACACACACACACACACACAGUGCUUUUUUCUGGGGGUACGCAGGGGUAUGCAUACCCAUAAACAUUUUGUGACUCUAAUGGGUGAAGAAACUAAAAGUUUUAAAAUUUUUACUUUCUUCUCUAGCACAGUGAAUCGUCAGUUCCGUUGCUACCCCCGAUGGUGGCCUUAUUUCCUGUCAGGGUGUUUCCUGAUUCUCAGGCAGAAGCGAGCGUUUAAUGUGUGAAGCAGUGUGGAAUGUGGAUGUGUGGUGUUUGUAAAUUCAUGAUUUUUGAAAGGAUGACAUCUGAGGUAACGCAUGUUCUUUGUACUGUUCUGUUGUCCAUUUACUGUAUUUAUUUUUCCAGAUUUGAACUAUAAAAUGGUGGUUUUCUUGAGUCAAAAUGAGAGUACCCUUAAGCAUUUUUUUAAGGAAACAAAAGCACUGUAUAUAUUCUAGCAAGCAUUUGCACUGAAUUCUGAUUUUUCCAAUUUUAACUCCAUUUUUAUUUCCACUAUAUUGAGCUUCUUGUACACUGCUGAGAGACACUUGUAAUUAAGUGGUAUAUGUUAAUGUAGUCUAAAUAUAUAAUGGGGUUGAAACAGAGGAAGCAGAACUUGGUGAAAGAAAAUGGCAGCAUCUCACAAUCUACAGCAAAGGGGGCCUGGUGGAAAGGGAAAGAACACAGAGACGUUAGGAGGCUCCUUGAGGCAGCCUGGGCACCAUUUAGUCUGUCUCGGUUGUACCAUUUCUCAAGACCAAAUAAUUCCUGUCUCCAAAGAUCCCAGUAAGAGGUCUAUUGUGACUACUAAAUUCUCUCUCAAAAAAAAAUUUUUUUAAGAAAAAAAGGAAAUUAUCCCUCCCAAACCAAUUUCCCUGCUGUGAAUGAAACCAUUUUUCUUAAUAUAGCAAGCAAUUAAAAAGCUUUGCAUAGCACCAAAGUAAAUGCACUUUACAGAGAGAGAAUGCAAAUGCCUCAAGUUGCAGUGGUUUUCCUUUGCCAGCUCUCAGCAAGCGGCCAUUUAGCUUUAAUUGUUCCUAACAGUGUGGGCCAAUUAAGAAUGACAUCAGCAGAGCAAGGAUUAUUUGUUAAUCUGUAAAAUGUAUAUACCAGACAGUUCCUCUUUUGGCCAUGGUUCUCCCCGCACAGCGCAUGGGAGAGGGUGGAGAAGGGAAGGGAAUUUAGCCAGCUGGAACUCUCCAAGAAAUCCUUGGAUAUUAGCAAGCAAUUGGUGAUAAGCAAGAUAAAUGGACAAAGGUAAUGUAACAGAACCAAAUUUAGAAAGCAUGUGCUUGUUUCUGGAAGGAUGGGUAUGGCUGGACAUGCAGCCAAAAUGAUAAGCAGGAUAUAAACCUCUCUGUCAAGCAUCCAGCAACUGCCUGGCAUAAAUUUAUAAAAUUAUGCAUGAUGCAGAAAGCAGAUAGAGAAAUUCUUUUCUCCCACUCUCAUAACACCAGAACUGGUAAACAUCCAAUGACCUGGAUGUUGGAAGUUUCUCGGUAGUGGCGCCCUCCCUGUGGAACGCCCUCCCACCAGAUGUCAAAGAGAACAACAACUACCAGACUUUUAGAAGACAUCUGAAGGCAGCCCUGUUUAGGGAAGCUUUUAAUGUUCGAUGUAUUACGGUAUUUUAAUAUGUUGUUGGAAGCUGCCUAGAGUGGCUGGGGAAGCCCAGCCAGAUGGGCGGGGUAUAAAUAAUAAAUUAUUAUUAUUAUAUUAUUAUUCAGAACAAAUAAAAGAAAGUACUUCUUCACACAGCACAUAGGAAAACUGGAACUCCCUCCCACAGAAGGCAGCCAUGAAUUUGAGUGGCUUUAAAAGAGGAUUAGAAGAAUUCAUGGAGGACAAGGCUAAAAUGGCGCUGUCAGGCAGGUGUCUGGAUCCAGCCAGCAAUAACUCACAAGGUAUCAGUGAACUAUUCAAAGAAACAAAGCAGCUCAGGCCUAGCAAGCACAGCAACUAUUCCCAGCAGAUUGUGCCCCGAUGAGGCAGUUGCAAGGACUGAAGGCCCCUGCCAUCCCACUGCUCUCUAAGUCCCCCCCCCUUGAUCCGUUCCAAGCAACCUGGGACUUCUUUGCCCUGUCUGUCUCUGCUCCGCUUCCAAAAAUGCAUUUGUACAUCCAUUUCUUAAUUUGUUUACCAUUAAUUUGUAUUGCAGUAAUGCUGCUUUUGCAACCCACCUUAGAUCAGACCUUGACCUAGUCUUUGGUCCCAAUCCAAUCCUGUAGUCACCUUUGACUGGACUUAACUGUCCAGGGGUCCUUUACCUUUUUACCUUUUUUACAUUACAGUAUAGGCCCUAUAUUAUAGGGACUCGGAUAUUGAAUUCAUCAUGGUUUAUCUGCAUACACAAGCUACCAUUAUGUGUUGCAUUCACUGCAUGGUCAAUAUAGAGGUGGAUAGUGGUCUUAGCUUGACUGAGUGGCCUUCAUUUACCUAGAAGGAAGUCUCACUGAUUUCAAGGGUAAUUACUCUGAAGUAAGGAUGCUUAGGAUAGUGGCUGUAAGAUAGAUAUACAGUGGUACCUCGGUUUACGAACUUAAUCUGUUCCGGAAGUCCGUUCUUAAACUGAAACCAUUCUUAAACCAAGGUGCGCUUUCCCUAAUGAGGCCUCCUGCCACCAGUGCCCUUCCACUGUUCGGAUUCCGUUCUUAGACUGAAGUAAAGUUUGUAAACCGGGACACUACUUCCGGUUUUGCGGAGUUUGUAAACUGAAUCGUUUGUAAAUAGGGCUGUUCUUAAACUGAGGUAUAGACAUAGGGUGGAAUUCAACACUGCACUAAUACAAUCUUCCCAUCAGUGCAAGAAUUUAUGUUUGCCAGAUACAAUAACCUCUCCUCUCCUCUCCUGCAUGUUGUUCUGGACCCACUACAAAUAUAUUGCCUCAGGUGCCACCACAAAAUGGCUGCCAUGGGCAGCAAAAAAAGAAGUGAUGUUACUCUGUGCCGGUGAGUGCUUUCACCCCACAAAAAGGUUUGUGUGUGUGUAGUAUUUCAGACACCUGUCACUCUAGAUGGUUUGUUUAUAAUGGGCACAAUACAGCACAAGUAAAAAUACAGAAAAGUUGUUUCAAUCUGCAGAGCAGAAGUGCAUGGAGGUGGAAUGUGAAUACGAUGUUCUUUCUGUAUAUUUUAGGCUGCUUGCAAUCCACGACAAGAAAAGAAGAGCUUCUCUUGUUCCUCGUUCCUGACUGGAGCUGCAUUAAGAAGUGCGCUGGGAUUCCCAGACUGCUAUUAACAACUGCAGGGUUCUAUCAUUUUUGGAAUCCCUUUAACAGACGACUCCAUCAGCAUCCCUCUUUUUCUCUUUUCUCUGUUGCUUUUCUGUGCUGAUAUGAAGAGUGAUAUGUCUGCUGGUGGUGAUGAAAAGCUACAUCACUGCCGGCUUCCCUCAAGUGGAGGCCUGCCAGUGCCAAUCAUUGUUACAGCAACUAACUCAUCUCAGCUGUCCAUGAAAUCCGAAAUCUUCCUUGGGGUUUUCUGCCAUGCUACAGACAAUCAAUCCAAAGAUGUUGAGAUCUAGAAGUUUAAAGCAGAUGCGGCUACAAUUCUUGACCCGGCAAGUGGCUCUGGGAUUUAACCACAGUCUUCGAGACCACAACCAGCCCAGCUGUGAGGAUCGCAGUGCCAGUAAUAAUAGAUCACAUGGCUUCUGCAAGGAACGAAAUUAAGGGUAGGUUGUGACCAAAGGAUGGGAAACAACACUGAAAAAGCCUUUGAGAGACAUUAUGUCAGAAUGAUUGUAAAUCAUUGCAAGGCUGGGAACUUAUCAACGGUAUGUACUUUAUUUAUUCUUACUGUUCUUGUGGUUGAGGAUGGUCUCGGUUAACAUUUCUGAAAAUGUAGUCAUAGUCAGCUUCCCUGUAUUCUUUACAUAUAUUAUUAUACUAGAUAGAUAGAUGGUAAAUUUCGGGGGGAAAUUCUAUUCAAAUCCAAUGGGUUAAACAAAUUUUAAAUAUACCAUAUCACUCAUACAACCCACAGAUUAAUCAACAACAAAUCAUAACUGAUACUUCUAGCAUUUUUGAGUCAUAACAUUCAGUUAGAUUUCUGUCCAAUUUUGCUGCACAACUUCCAGUAGUUUUCUUAUCUUCUGAUAUUUAUUCUUGUUUUUUGCUUCUACUAUUGAAGCAAUUUAAUUAUCGCACCAUUCUAACAAGCCUUUUUUUUUUUGCAACGCAUAUAUCCCAGAUUGUCUCAGAAUAUGAAAUCUUAUGCAUUAGUAUUCUAUGCCAAAUAUAACAUUUCCAUUCUUCUAAGGAUGACAGUUCUUGUCCCCCUUCUCCCACUUUUAACUACUAACAUACAGGCUGAUUGAAAACCAUUGUGGUGUUUUUAGAUAAUACUUGGGCCACAGUGCCUGUG
RNAcentral lists this long non-coding RNA (41719 nucleotides) under Podarcis lilfordi (Lilford's wall lizard). The record is from RNAcentral. Lineage: Eukaryota; Metazoa; Chordata; Lepidosauria; Squamata; Lacertidae.